This 527-nucleotide long non-coding RNA is filed under the name Homo sapiens (human). RNAcentral describes it as "non-protein coding lnc-EMX2-5:12". The record is from RNAcentral. Lineage: Eukaryota; Metazoa; Chordata; Mammalia; Primates; Hominidae.
AGUGCCUAUCGGGCAGCCAGUGAACAUUUGUCCAUCUUUAAGGCAUUAAACUGAGAAGAACCACUGAGGAAAGCAUGCCACAGUCUUUCCCAAAAUCCCUGUGUCUUAAGGAACAACCAAGAAGUUAACUGGUCAGGGAAAAGAUUUCUUUUGGAACACAGAAGCCAUCGCUGUGUGCGGAAAUCCAUGACCUGGCCAUGACUUCUACAACCCGGAGGACUUGCCUGGCAUUACCGAAAAGCACAGGGGAAAGAUUCUGUGGCAGAGAAUGAUGGGAGUUGUGAUCCAUACCUCCGUGUGCAUAAUGGUUGUACCUGCUCCAGGAAGGCGCUGGAUCCUCCCAACUCCAUGGGAAGAGAUUAGGACACAAACAACAGACAGAAGGUGACCACAGGAGGACACAGUGAGAAGCUGGCCAUCUGCAAGCCAAGGAGAGAGACCUCAGGAGAAACCAAACCUGCCAGCACCUUAAUCUUAGACUUCUAGCCCUCAGAACGGUGAGGAAAUAAAUCUCUGUUGUUCAUGCC